Molecule: ribosomal RNA, 504 nt
Filed under: uncultured bacterium
Lineage: Bacteria
Description: bacterial SSU rRNA
Rfam family: Bacterial small subunit ribosomal RNA
Source: RNAcentral
AAUGAACGCUGGCGGCGUGGAUAAGACAUGCAAGUCGAACGAAGAAUGUGAUUAGUUUACUAGGAUCAUUCUUAGUGGCGGACGGGUUAGUAACGCGUGAGCAACUUGCCUCAAAGAGGGGGAUAGUCCUGGGAAACUGGGUUUAAUACCGCAUAAGCUCUACGGAGUAAAGGUGCCUUAUGGUAUCGCUUUGAGAUAGGCUCGCGUCCUAUCAGCUAGUUGGUGAGGUAAAGGCUCACCAAGGCGACGACGGGUAGCUGUUCUGAGAGGAAGAUCAGCAACACUGGAACUGAGACACGGUCCAGACACCUACGGGUGGCAGCAGUCGAGAAUCAUUCACAAUGGACGAAAGUCUGAUGGUGCAACGCCGCGUGGAGGAUGAAGGCCCUAGGGUCGUAAACUCCUGUCAUAAUAGAGUAAGGCAUAUGCGUUAAUAUCGUAUAUGUUUGAUAGUAUAUUAAGAGGAAGGGACGGCUAACUUCGUGCCAGCCGCCGCCGUAACAC